UGGAGAGUUUGAUCCUGGCUCAGGACGAACGCUGGCGGCGUGCUUAACACAUGCAAGUCGAACGGAAAGGCCCUUCGGGGUACUCGAGUGGCGAACGGGUGAGUAACACGUGGGUGAUCUGCCCUGCACUUUGGGAUAAGCCUGGGAAACUGGGUCUAAUACCGAAUAGGACCACGCGCUUCAUGGUGUGUGGUGGAAAGCUUUUGCGGUGUGGGAUGGGCCCGCGGCCUAUCAGCUUGUUGGUGGGGUAAUGGCCUACCAAGGCGACGACGGGUAGCCGGCCUGAGAGGGUGACCGGCCACACUGGGACUGAGAUACGGCCCAGACUCCUACGGGAGGCAGCAGUGGGGAAUAUUGCACAAUGGGCGCAAGCCUGAUGCAGCGACGCCGCGUGAGGGAUGACGGCCUUCGGGUUGUAAACCUCUUUCACCAGGGACGAAGCGNAAGUGACGGUACCUAAGAAGAACACCGGCCAACUACGUGCCAGCAGCCGCGGUA
Molecule: ribosomal RNA, 498 nt
Filed under: Mycolicibacterium mucogenicum
Lineage: Bacteria; Bacillati; Actinomycetota; Actinomycetes; Mycobacteriales; Mycobacteriaceae
Description: bacterial SSU rRNA
Rfam family: Bacterial small subunit ribosomal RNA
Source: RNAcentral